AUUGAACGCUGGCGGCAGGCUUAACACAUGCAAGUCGAGCGGAGUGAUGGUGCUUGCACUAUCACUUAGCGGCGGACGGGUGAGUAAUGCUUAGGAAUCUGCCUAUUAGUGGGGGACAACAUUUCGAAAGGAAUGCUAAUACCGCAUACGUCCUACGGGAGAAAGCAGGGGAUCUUCGGACCUUGCGCUAAUAGAUGAGCCUAAGUCGGAUUAGCUAGUUGGUGGGGUAAAGGCCUACCAAGGCGACGAUCUGUAGCGGGUCUGAGAGGAUGAUCCGCCACACUGGGACUGAGACACGGCCCAGACUCCUACGGGAGGCAGCAGUGGGGAAUAUUGGACAAUGGGCGCAAGCCUGAUCCAGCCAUGCCGCGUGUGUGAAGAAGGCCUUAUGGUUGUAAAGCACUUUAAGCGAGGAGGAGGCUACUGAAGUUAAUACCUUCAGAUAGUGGACGUUACUCGCAGAAUAAGCACCGGCUAACUCUGUGCCAGCAGCCGCGGUAAUACAGAGGGUGCAAGCGUUAAUCGGAUUUACUGGGCGUAAAGCGCGCGUAGGCGGCUAAUUAAGUCAAAUGUGAAAUCCCCGAGCUUAACUUGGGAAUUGCAUUCGAUACUGGUUAGCUAGAGUGUGGGAGAGGAUGGUAGAAUUCCAGGUGUAGCGGUGAAAUGCGUAGAGAUCUGGAGGAAUACCGAUGGCGAAGGCAGCCAUCUGGCCUAACACUGACGCUGAGGUGCGAAAGCAUGGGGAGCAAACAGGAUUAGAUACCCUGGUAGUCCAUGCCGUAAACGAUGUCUACUAGCCGUUGGGGCCUUUGAGGCUUUAGUGGCGCAGCUAACGCGAUAAGUAGACCGCCUGGGGAGUACGGUCGCAAGACUAAAACUCAAAUGAAUUGACGGGGGCCCGCACAAGCGGUGGAGCAUGUGGUUUAAUUCGAUGCAACGCGAAGAACCUUACCUGGCCUUGACAUAGUAAGAACUUUCCAGAGAUGGAUUGGUGCCUUCGGGAACUUACAUACAGGUGCUGCAUGGCUGUCGUCAGCUCGUGUCGUGAGAUGUUGGGUUAAGUCCCGCAACGAGCGCAACCCUUUUCCUUAUUUGCCAGCGAGUAAUGUCGGGAACUUUAAGGAUACUGCCAGUGACAAACUGGAGGAAGGCGGGACGACGUCAGUCAUCAUGGCCCUUACAGCCAGGGCUACACACGUGCUACAAUGGUCGGUACAAAGGGUUGCUACCUAGCG
RNAcentral lists this ribosomal RNA (1235 nucleotides) under Acinetobacter calcoaceticus. RNAcentral describes it as "bacterial SSU rRNA". It matches the Rfam family "Bacterial small subunit ribosomal RNA", at positions 28 to 1259 of the family's 1533-position model. Lineage: Bacteria; Pseudomonadati; Pseudomonadota; Gammaproteobacteria; Moraxellales; Moraxellaceae. The record is from RNAcentral.